AAAAUCGCUAAAAAGCAUUCUACUAAGAAGAUUUGGUCUUAAAUUUUUUUGUUUGAAUUUUUAAAGUCAUCCUCCCGGGCCUAUUCUCAAUUCCUACAAUUCGCGUACUUUUCUGUCAUUCAUAAAAACAAACAACCGUUCAUGUACUACGUGUUUAAUAUUGAGUUCAUUCUCAAUCUCGUACUUCUUAAAUUUCCUUCAGACAGGAAGCCUCCCAAUCAGACACUGCGCGGGUUUUUGUAUAAACGUAAAAAAAUACUUGACAAAACAGCUAUUUUUUACAUUAGCAGUUUUUGUGCGCAUUGAGAGUACUCUUGGGGUCUUUUGAGGGUCUUAGAAAGCUUGUAGAGCCAGCUUAAUUCUACUUGUGUUAAGUCUGUUACUGAUCUUAAAAGUGAUAGGCCCCAUAAAAGGCUUGGCUAAUUCCUUGUGAUUUUCAAGCGAUUAAAUAACUGUAAAUAAACUCACCUUACUCACAUGCACGGCCUUGAACAAACGACGAUGCUUUGCUGAAAAAACAAAACAAAAACAGAGUGAAUUAUUGUUGAAGGCUGCUCACGGCGCCCGGCGUCUAACUAAGGAGCUUUUGGAUUAUUGAGAUCUCAUUGGAUACCCCGCCGGUAAGAAGCCUGUAUUUUUUGUUUAAUAAAAAUGUCUAACGGAAUACGAAUUAAAACUCAGUUUUCUUAAUUCUUUUCGACUUAUGUGAUGUUUUAUUCGGAUAUUUUUCACUUUUAUAAUUGAGAAAUAGGAAUUUUGCCUGCCAUGUUUUUUUUAACUUUCGCAUGUCCCGGUUACCGUAAUUACAUGUAAUGAAAUUAAUGGUAAACGUCCUGUAUUUAAUAACUAAAGCUUGUGGCUGCUCUGAUCAAUAAUUUAAUACCAAAAGGCCUAUUAUCCUGUAGUAUUUAUGUUAGAUCGAAAAUGAAUAAUUUCACCUUUAAAGUUAUGACUCGUAGGAUGUUAAAAUGAAAGGAAAAAUAAAAAUCCGAACACGCUAUUUUUUUUCGAGAUAUACAAGUUUUGACUAUUGAAGAUUAGCAUGCUACAAAGGGUAUUUGCCUUUUAGAUUUUUUAUUCAUCCCAUCCUUGUCCUGUAGUACCGAAAGCGGUCCGAAAAAGGCGCCAAAAUUGGAUCUUCCCGCCACAAGUAAUGCGCAGCCGACUCAUCCACCAGAUUAUUCGACCCGAGGAAAUCCACUUGGAGGUUGAAAUAAAUGUGUGAAAAUAUGUUAUCCCUUUUUCCCACUAUAUGUCUCGUGCUGUUUUAUUUAUUUAUCUACUAUUGUUAUCCAAACAUGAGAAACACCAAUUUUUUUUUCUCAGUUUGUGGUUGAGCUUAUUAUUUUACAAAAUAUUAUAUCACUAGAGUUAAUUUGUAUGGUAAAAAAUAAGUUUGUCAUGGAAAAAAACGGUCGAAACACCAUUAUUUGCGAACAUGAAUCUAAGUAGAUGUAUUGCGUGAAUGUAGUCAUGCAAUCCAACGCUAAGAAGGAUUUCAACGCAUCAAGGAACUGUAUGAUGGUUAGCCUGCCUGGCAAUUGAUAUAUAUUUUUUUACACUAAAAUGGAAAAAAAAAAUGAUUGCACCCCUUUGCAAGCCUGCCAAUAUAUCGACCACCUAAAAUCACCCCUCGAGUGCUUCUACUGAAAGUCUCUUCGGAGAUUUGCAUUUGAAGAUCACAAUCUUUUGUUUAAGGCAACAUAAUUAGAAAACAUGAAUACAAUAUUGAAAUAGAAUUACGCUUCUCAAAUGGACCGAUCUCAUCGGAUCUCGCUCAGCAUGAUGCUCUUACUCUACUCGAAAAUAAACCAUACCUUAAGUAGAACUCACUUUGUAUAGACGCGAUUGUUUGCCGUUGUCAUUAUUUCCAAAGUGUUUUAGAAGAAGAGGAAAUAGCCCCCUAGAACGUUAUGUCUCUUGCACAAGAUGUUUUUCUGUGUUUUAUUUGCCAUAAAUCUAGAACAGUUCGUGGGGUCGACUGGAGGUCGUUUUGACGCAUAGUGUUUCAGUUCGGCUUUCCAUCCACAAUAGCCCUAUGGCGAAUUUAUAACUAAAUUCACUUCAUUCAUCUUUCAUUCAUAAUAAUGCUCGUAACGGUAAAAUAUUUAACUUUUCUAAAAAAGAAUCUUACCAUAAAAGAAUUGUGGCCUUUUCUUUUCAACACUGCGGCUUGGCUUCUUUGUAAGUUUUUUGGAUGACCGUUUUUUGUUUGGCGUUGAACACAGUGCUGGAAACAAUCGUGCUUUUUAGAAUUACGAAAACUAUUUCGAAAUGCUGAACCGUACAAAGGGUUGUCUACUCUUGAUAACCAGGAAAUUUCACAGUUAAUACGUCACAACGAAUGUUUAUGCACUAUGAUUAUGUAGAAAAAUAUCGAGACCUCGAUCGAGAAAUCGCAAGAGAAGUUUUUCUUAGAUGUUGAAAUGGAAAUAUAGUAAAUAAUAUUUAUAAAAUGACGUCUUACCUUCUGUGCAGGAAAGUGUAUUUCCUAAAAUCUUUUAGAAAUGUAUGCCGAAUUAUUCCGUCUUACAGAUAUAUUUAGACUUAUCUGCUCAAUUUCGGCACUCCUUAAAAUAAAAUUGCCAGUAAACACUUUUCAGAUUUAACCAUCAAAUGAAUGCGCUACGAGCUUAAGGAAACACUGAUAAAAUAUCCGUUUUACCUGUGGAACCCGCCAAUUUUGUGGUAUCAGAAUAAAAAUGUAGAGCUAAAAUCUAAUCAUCUCUACCCAAUGUGCAUUGAUCACCUAGAUAUCCCCCUCGAGGGAGAGUCUGCAGCUACACGAACAAAUAAUGGAUACAAAUCCUUGCUGCCCUAAAGCUGUUUACAAAAGCAAAGCUAUUAAAAAAGAGUUUGCAAAAGCGCGCCAAAAGUCAUAAGUGAAAUUCUCAAUAUUUUCAUGUCUAAUAAGUGGUUUCAGUUUUGCUCACUUCUAAGAGACAGAUCCAUUACCGUAACGAAAAAAAAAUCGAAAAUCACAACUCUUUUACCAAAUUGUCAAAUCAAGAGUCAGAAUGCCUCAUAUCAUUUUAUGGUCACUAUAAAACCAUGCCAUCGACUCGAGUUUUCUCUCACCCGCAUUUUCUUCGCGUUUUUAGUUUGUUGUCAAAAUAGUCAUGAUCUAAGGGUAAUUUGCUAGAGGCGGCGUAAAUGUCAAAAUUUUAGUCUCCAAUUAGCGAAAUACUCCGUUACUCGGCUCACACGCAAUGGGACAUUCUUGAGUUUAAUUUGGAAAGGAAUUUUCCACUGUGCUGAUAAAGACAUUAUUAUGGGAAAUCGACGUGAUUUUUGCGAAAUGGUAGCCUUCUUUAUAACAGCUGCAUAACAUUGUUAAUCGAAAUCCCUUGAAAAAAUUUCUUGAUUAUAAUUUCCAAAUGCUCCAAUCAUUAUUUAUUAUUACUUCAAAGGACGCUUUUGCGACUCGAAUUUGGAUCCGAUGAAUGGUCAAUUGUGAGAAACGAUUACGAAAAAAUACUAAUUUGUGAGUAUGGUUGGUUGAAUAGCAUCUUGGCGAAUGUGGGAUUUAUUCCUAUGACUCUUUUCUGUCGUAAAUUAGCCAUGUUUAAGGCAGAUUAGUGGUUGUUCUAUUA
This is a long non-coding RNA of Nematostella vectensis (starlet sea anemone), 3593 nucleotides long. RefSeq lists it as uncharacterized. Lineage: Eukaryota; Metazoa; Cnidaria; Anthozoa; Actiniaria; Edwardsiidae. The record is from RefSeq and is a predicted model, not a curated record. The transcript is spliced from 2 exons.